This 969-nucleotide long non-coding RNA is filed under the name Sorghum bicolor (sorghum). RNAcentral describes it as "long non-coding RNA (SBIC_LNC014229)". The record is from RNAcentral. Lineage: Eukaryota; Viridiplantae; Streptophyta; Magnoliopsida; Poales; Poaceae.
CUUCCACUAAAUCAAAGUUAUCCAUCUCCACCAAAAAGAUCGGGACACCCUCGUUCUUAUUAUGUGGUAAUCAGAGCAAGGUUUGAUUGGUGAGAGAUUUUAGUUUGCAAUUUUUUUCCUAUAGUCCAGAAAAGCCAAAAAAAAAUUUUAGUUUCAUUCCCAACAUCCUAUAGACCCAUUGAGCCUUUUACUAGUACUACUUAGUUCAGGCAAGUUGUGUUUGAUUUACAUCGGUUGAGUCGAAUUGUUGGUCUUGGGUUUAGACUUUUAGAGUUUCGAGUUCUUGGCACGUUUUAGUCACUGCCCAUCGUAUAAUCUCUGCUGCAAUCACUAUUAUCAUAUACAUUUGGAAUGUCUGAACUAUCAUCACCACCCUACUUGUGCACCGUGUAAACUCCAUCCACCAGUUUAUCUUUUCACUUGUACGCACCCCUAUAUUUUUAGGCGCAUGCACCCUUUCACUUCAACCCAUGAGCAUGCUAUGAUUAACCACCACCUCCUGCAAGCUCUUUUCUACCAUCCAUACAUCCUAUUAUAAGCGCUAGCGCACAUUCUAUUUUCAGCAUCCUAUUGCAACCACCAGAUUUGUUCCACAUUUGCGCAUCUAAUUUUAGAACAUUCCAUUGUUCCAUCCACUUCCAGCAGCGCGCAUCCUUUUGCCUGUCCUCCACUCUUCUUUCACAUUAUAUUUUUAGCAUCCCCAUUGCAAUAAGUACUACUGCAGCACCAUAUCACCAUCACAAUUUGCUAGUUGUAUUUUUGUCACACUAAAGGCAUUGUGCGUAUUCUGAAAUCUAAUCCAUCAAAAUUUAGAUUUGUUUUAGUUGAGCAAAGUAAAAGAAAAAAAAACAGAAAGAAACAAAAAAACAAUCAAAAAAAGAGUAAAAAAACGAAAGAAAAAAAAACGAAAGAAAAGAAAGGAAGAGGAAAAGAAGGGGAGUUAUCUCUUGUUGUCCUUAUUAUUGUUCC